AGAGUUUGAUCAUGGCUCAGGACGAACGCUGGCGGCGUGCUUAACACAUGCAAGUCGCGCGAUUCUCGAAGUUCGGGGUUGGGAGUUCGAACCUCGAACUUCGAACCUCGAACUUCGAGAAUAGCGGCGGACGGGUGAGUAACACGUGGAUAACCUACCCAUUAGACCGGGAUAACACCGGGAAACUGGUGCUAAUACCGGAUAAGCUCUUUAGAGUAAAAGCCUUAAAGAGGAAAGGGGAAACUCACUAAUGGAUGGGUCCGCGUCCUAUUAGCUAGUUGGUAGGGUAACGGCCUACCAAGGCGACGAUGGGUAGCCGGCCUGAGAGGGUGACCGGCCACACUGGGACUGAGACACGGCCCAGACUCCUACGGGAGGCAGCAGUGGGGAAUAUUCCGCAAUGGGGGAAACCCUGACGGAGCAAUGCCGCGUGAGUGAAGAAGGCCUUUGGGUCGUAAAACUCUGUCUUGAGGGACGAAAAAAAUGACGGUACCUCAAAAGAAAGCCCCGGCUAACUACGUGCCAGCAGCCGCGGUAAAACGUAGGGGGCGAGCGUUGUCCGGAAUUACUGGGCGUAAAGGGCGUGUAGGCGGCCUGUGUAGUCAAGUGGUGGAAACCCGGGGCUUAACUUCGGGAUGGCCCUUGAAACCAACAGGCUUGAGGACAGGAGAGGGGAGUGGAAUUUCCGGUGUAGCGGUGAAAUGCGUAGAUACCGGAAGGAACACCAGUGGCGAAAGCGGCUCCCUGGACUGGUCCUGACGCUGAGGCGCGAAAGCGUGGGGAGCAAACA
RNAcentral lists this ribosomal RNA (790 nucleotides) under bacterium enrichment culture clone IsoM-37. RNAcentral describes it as "bacterial SSU rRNA". It matches the Rfam family "Bacterial small subunit ribosomal RNA", at positions 8 to 774 of the family's 1533-position model. The record is from RNAcentral.